GUCAGAUGUGUAUAAGAGACAGGUGAAUCAUCGAAUCUUUGAACGCAACUUGCGCUUAAAAUCAAUCAUUUUAAGCACACUUGUUUGAGUGUCGGUUUAUAACACACUUUUAAUGUGUUUGAGUUUCAACCUGUAUUGGUCGUUACUUUAAAACUAUGCUAUGAUAUUUGAUUAUCUUUCACUUCUUAGUAUUUCUUUGAUUUGUAAUAGAUAAGCCUUUUAUCAUUCAUUCCUCUCCCUUUCUCGACCUCAAAUCAAGUGAGAUUACCGGCUGAACUUAAGCAUAUCAAUAAGCGGAGG
RNAcentral lists this unclassified non-coding RNA (300 nucleotides) under uncultured fungus. RNAcentral's name for it is "sequence contains 5.8S rRNA gene, ITS2". The stretch from base 1 to 94 matches the Rfam family "5.8S ribosomal RNA", at positions 58 to 154 of the family's 154-position model. Lineage: Eukaryota; Fungi. The record is from RNAcentral.